UACAGAGGGUGCAAGCGUUGUUCGGAAUUAUUGGGCGUAAAGGGUGUGUAGGCGGCUCAUUAAGUCUUCUGUGAAAUCUACGGGCUCAACCUGUAACGUGCAGAGGAUACUGAUGAGCUUGAGUGUCGGAGAGGAUAGUGGAAUUCCCGGUGUAGAGGUGAAAUUCGUAGAGAUCGGGAGGAACACCAGUGGCGAAGGCGACUGUCUGGCUGACAACUGACGCUGAGACUCGAAAGCAUGGGGAGCAAACAGG
This 253-nucleotide ribosomal RNA is filed under the name uncultured bacterium. Its description in RNAcentral is "partial 16S ribosomal RNA". It matches the Rfam family "Bacterial small subunit ribosomal RNA", at positions 524 to 776 of the family's 1533-position model. The record is from RNAcentral.